Molecule: ribosomal RNA, 497 nt
Filed under: uncultured bacterium
Lineage: Bacteria
Description: partial 16S ribosomal RNA
Rfam family: Bacterial small subunit ribosomal RNA
Source: RNAcentral
GAUGAACGCUGGCGGCGUGCCUAAUACAUGCAAGUCGAACGCUGAAGGAAGGAGCUUGCUCUUUCCGGAUGAGUUGCGAACGGGUGAGUAACGCGUAGGUAACCUGCCUGGUAGCGGGGGAUAACUAUUGGAAACGAUAGCUAAUACCGCAUAACAGUAGAUGUUGCAUGAUAUCUACUUAAAAGGUGCAAUUGCACCACUACCAGAUGGACCUGCGUUGUAUUAGCUAGUUGGUGAGGUAACGGCUCACCAAGGCGACGAUACAUAGCCGACCUGAGAGGGGGAGCGGCCACACUGGGACUGAGACACGGCCCAGACUCCUACGGGAGGCAGCAGUAGGGAAUCUUCGGCAAUGGACGGAAGUCUGACCGAGCAACGCCGCGUGAGUGAAGAAGGUUUUCGGAUCGUAAAGCUCUGUUGUAAGAGAAGAACGAGUGUGAGAGUGGAAAGUUCACACUGUGACGGUAUCUUACCAGAAAGGGACGGCUAACUACGUG